GAUGAACGCUAGCGGCAGGCUUAAUACAUGCAAGUCGUGGGGCAGCAGGUUUGUAGCAAUACAGAUGCUGGCGACCGGCAAACGGGUGCGGAACACGUACAGAACCUUCCUUUGAGCGGGGAAUAGCCCAGAGAAAUUUGGAUUAAUACCCCAUAGUAUAAUGAAGUGGCAUCACUUUAUUAUUAAAGAUUUAUCACUCGAAGAUGGCUGUGCGGCUGAUUAGGUAGUUGGCGGGGCAAAGGCCCACCAAGCCUGCGAUCAGUAACUGGUGUGAGAGCACGACCAGUCACACGGGCACUGAGACACGGGCCCGACUCCUACGGGAGGCAGCAGUAAGGAAUAUUGGUCAAUGGAGGCAACUCUGAACCAGCCAUGCCGCGUGGAGGAUGAAGGUCCUCUGGAUUGUAAACUUCUUUUAUAUGGGACGAAAAAAGGCUUUUCUAAGUCGUCUGACGGUACCAUAUGAAUAAGCACCGGCUAACUCCGUGCCAG
This 492-nucleotide ribosomal RNA is filed under the name uncultured bacterium. RNAcentral's name for it is "bacterial SSU rRNA". It matches the Rfam family "Bacterial small subunit ribosomal RNA", at positions 28 to 511 of the family's 1533-position model. The record is from RNAcentral.